CAUAGUUUCCAUCACUUAAAGAACAAGGCUAGGAAGGUUUUAAGAGGAGUAGGAAAGGUUGGGUAGCUUAGAAUACACCUUGUUAAGCAUGGGGUGAAAUAUGAUCUUGCGGGAUGAGAAUGACUGUUUUUAUCACGCAGAAACAAAGGUAGAAGAAGGGUUUUGAGAGAGAAAUAGAAAGAGUUAGCUUAGAAUACACCUUUUUAAGCAUGGGGUGACAUAUGAUCUUGUGGGAUGAGAAUGACUGUUUUUAUCACACAGAAACAAAGCUAGAAGGGUUUUGAGAGGGGAAUAGAAAAGAUUGGCUAGCUUAGAAUACACCUUUUUAAGCAUGGGGUGAAAUAUGAUCUUGUGGGAUGAGAAUGACUGUUUUUAUCACACAGAAACAAAGGGAGAAGAAGGGUUUUGAGAGGGGAAUAGAAAAGAUUAGCUAGCAUAGAAUACACCGUGUUAAGCAUGGGGUGAAAUAUGAUCUUGUGGGAUGAGAAUGACCAUUUUUAUCACACAGAAACAAAGAUAGAAGAAGGGUUUUGAGAGGUGACUAGAAAAGAUUGGCUAGCUUAGAAUACACCUUUUUAAGCAUGGAGUGAAAUAUGAUCUUGUGGGCUGAGAAUGACCAUUUUUAUCACACAGAAACAAAGAUAGAAGAAGGGUUUUGAGAGGUGACUAGAAAAGAUUGGCUAGCUUAGAAUACACCUUUUUAAGCAUGGAGUGAAAUAUGAUCUUGUGGGCUGAGAAUGACCAUUUUUAUCACACAGAAACAAAGAUAGAAGAAGGGUUUUGAGAGGUGAAUAGAAAGAGUUAGCUUAGAACACACCUUUUUAAGCAUGGGGUGAAAUAUGAUCUUGUGGGAUGAGAAUGACUGUUUUUAUCACACAGAAACAAAGAUAGAAGAAGGUUUUUGAGAGGUGACUAGAAAAGAUUGGCUAGCUUAGAACACACCUUUUUAAGCAUGGUGGGAAAUAUGAUCUUGUGGGAUGAGGAUGUCAUAAUUUUCGUCACUUAAAGAACAAGGCUAGGAAGGUUUUAAGAGAAGUAGGAAAGGUUGCCUAGCUUAGAAGAUACAUUUUUGGGGUGAAAUAUGAUCUUGCGGGAUGAGAAUAACUAAAAACACACAGUAACAAAGGUAGCAGAAGGGUUUUGAGAGGUGAAUAGAAAGGGUUAGCUUUGAAGACAUCUUUUAAAAAUACGUUCUUUUGUGAGAGGCCCUUUCUUAAGACGUGUUGUGCAUUGCGUUCGUGUUUUUACUUAAAGAAAUGCUCAAGUCCCGCACAGCAAUCGUUUACUUCAUCUAUCCCUUCUUCCCAUGAGCCAACUUUCUGGUCUUCCAUAUAGUUUUUGUACACACAUUUGAGGCAUUCGACGGAGAAGGAGCGGAAGGGACAGAGCGAUUUAUUUUCUAGCUUGCACUGGGACAGGCAGACGAUAACAGGUUGCAAGGGAAAAGUGACCUUGUAGUUGGUGUACCGAGGGUUGGUUUUCCCUUGCAGCUUAUGUCUAGUUCUUCCUGGGAUGUGGAGUUUGUCUUUCCCAGUGCAGACUGAAAAAAUAUGGUUGUUCCUUACGCCCCUUCUCUUCCGAACACCUCAAAUAUUUCCUGUCACAUCACCAGACUGACAUGAUUCUGCGCCUUCCCUGUUUCUACCAAUGAGUAAUAGAUGAUUCUUGGUGUGUUUAUGACCUUUGUGAGUCGCUAGCUUUCCUUCCGCUGUUUUACGUAUUCCGAGUUUUGCACCGUAGGGUAAAUUCUAUAAUGAUUCAUGUUACGAGCAGCAUAGACAUAUUUUUGAGGUUGUUUAAAUAUGUCGCUACCGAGGCCAGUUCCUUCGCUCUGGUGUGGAAAACAUGCUCAAGGAAAGAUGAUUGAACCCUCAAGAAUAAAACUAAACUAAG
Long non-coding RNA from Eriocheir sinensis (Chinese mitten crab), 1893 nucleotides. RefSeq lists it as uncharacterized. The record is from RefSeq and is a predicted model, not a curated record. The transcript has 3 exons. NCBI's taxonomy places the organism in Eukaryota, Metazoa, Arthropoda, Malacostraca, Decapoda, Varunidae.